CAGCCGCCACGGGAAUACGUAGGUGGCAAGCGUUGUCCGGAAUUAUUGGGCGUAAAGGGCUCGCAGGCGGUUUCUUAAGUCUGAUGUGAAAGCCCCCGGCUCAACCGGGGAGGGUCAUUGGAAACUGGGAAACUUGAGUGCAGAAGAGGAGAGUGGAAUUCCACGUGUAGCGGUGAAAUGCGUAGAGAUGUGGAGGAACACCAGUGGCGAAGGCGACUCUCUGGUCUGUAACUGACGCUGAGGAGCGAAAACGUGGGGAGCGAACAGGAUUAGAUACCCCGGUAGUCCCUGUCUCUUAUAC
Molecule: ribosomal RNA, 301 nt
Filed under: uncultured bacterium
Lineage: Bacteria
Description: partial 16S ribosomal RNA
Rfam family: Bacterial small subunit ribosomal RNA
Source: RNAcentral